UCCGGUUUGGCACCGGCAGUCUCUCUAGAGUUCCCGGCUUUACCCGCUGGUAACUAGAGACGAGGGUUGCGCUCGUUGCGGGACUUAACCCAACAUCUCACGACACGAGCUGACGACAGCCACGCAGCACCUGUGUUACGGCUCUCUUUCGAGCACCCCCCGAUCUCUCGGGGGUUCCGUACAUGUCAAGGGUAGGUAAGGUUUUUCGCGUUGCAUCGAAUUAAUCCACAUCAUCCACCGCUUGUGCGGGUCCCCGUCAAUUCCUUUGAGUUUUAAUCUUGCGACCGUACUCCCCAGGCGGUCUACUUCACGCGUUAGCUGCGUUACCAAGUCAAUUAAGACCCGACAACUAGUAGACAUCGUUUAGGGCGUGGACUAC
This 379-nucleotide unclassified non-coding RNA is filed under the name uncultured Gammaproteobacteria bacterium. Its description in RNAcentral is "contains 16S-23S intergenic spacer region". Lineage: Bacteria; Pseudomonadati; Pseudomonadota; Gammaproteobacteria. The record is from RNAcentral.